This 492-nucleotide precursor RNA is filed under the name Dimocarpus longan. RNAcentral describes it as "precursor microRNA miR398a". The stretch from base 12 to 110 matches the Rfam family "MIR398 microRNA precursor family". Lineage: Eukaryota; Viridiplantae; Streptophyta; Magnoliopsida; Sapindales; Sapindaceae. The record is from RNAcentral.
AAGAGCAGAUGGUAGAGCCCAGAGGAGUGGCUCCAGAGAACACAGGAGGUAUUGGCUUCUGUUUGCAGUUAAUGCACCUUGUGUUCUCAGGUCACCCCUUUGGACCACCCUGUUUCUCUUCUCUUCUCUUCUCUCUUCUUCAACUACUGUCCGUUCUUCUACAGCUACUCCUAUUUUUAAUUCAAAUAUUUGAAACAGCCUACUAACAUCCCUUUUUCUUCUUCUUUCAGGAAAAUCCAUGAAGUCCCCAGAUGUUAUGGUAGUGAGUGGUAGCUAAACCGAGACAUCAUGAUGUGAAAACUGGAUGGUGCAUGUUUUUUAUAAAGACAUGCUCGUUGAUGUUAUUCGGGAACACGUUGAACAAACAAUUAUUUUGUAAAUUGUAAUGUACACAACAAAUAGAGAGAUGCAAUGAUGAGCAGGAAUGUAUGAAAAUUAUGCAAGUAAAUUGGUUGCUCAUUUUGGUAUGCAAAAAAAAAAAAAAAAAAAAAA